CCUACGGGAGGCUGCAGUGAGGAAUAUUGGUCAAUGGACGAGAGUCUGAACCAGCCAAGUAGCGUGAAGGAUGACUGCCCUAUGGGUUGUAAACUUCUUUUAUAUGGGAAUAAAAUGUUCCACGUGUGUGAUUUUGUAUGUACCAUAUGAAUAAGGCUCGGCUAACUACGUGCCAGCAGCAGCGGUAAUACGGAGGAUCCGAGCGUUAACCGGAUUUAGUGGGUUUAAAGGGAGCGUAGGUGGAUUGUUAAGUCAGUUGUGAAAGUUUGCGGCUCAACCGUAAAAGUGCAGUUGAAACUGGCAGUCUGGAGUACAGUAGAGGUGGGCGGAAUUCGUGGUGUAGCGGUGAAAUGCUUAGAUAUCACGAAGAACUCCGAUUGCGAAGGCAGCUCACUGGACUGCAACUGACACUGAGGCUCGAAAGUGUGGGUAUCAAACAGGAUUAGAUACCCGAGUAGUC
RNAcentral lists this ribosomal RNA (460 nucleotides) under uncultured bacterium. RNAcentral's name for it is "partial 16S ribosomal RNA". It matches the Rfam family "Bacterial small subunit ribosomal RNA", at positions 338 to 795 of the family's 1533-position model. The record is from RNAcentral.